RNAcentral lists this ribosomal RNA (471 nucleotides) under uncultured bacterium. RNAcentral describes it as "bacterial SSU rRNA". It matches the Rfam family "Bacterial small subunit ribosomal RNA", at positions 355 to 825 of the family's 1533-position model. The record is from RNAcentral.
UCGAGAAUUUUUCUCAAUGGGCGAAAGCCUGAAGGAGCGACGCCGCGUGGGGGAUGAAUGGCUUCGGCCCGUAAACCCCUGUCAUUUGCGAACAAACCUCGUGAUUUAACAGAUGACGAGCUGAUUGUAGCGAAAGAAGAAGCUCCGGCUAACUUCGUGCCAGCAGCCGCGGUAAUACGAAGGGAGCUAGCGUUGUUCGGAAUCACUGGGCGUAAAGCGCACGUAGGCGGAUAGUUAAGUCAGGGGUGAAAUCCUGGGGCUCAACCCCAGAACUGCCUUUGAUACUGGCUGUCUCGAGGUCGAGAGAGGUUGGUGGAAUUCCUAGUGUAGAGGUGAAAUUCGUAGAUAUUAGGAAGAACACCAGUGGCGAAGGCGGCCAACUGGCUCGCACCUGACACUAAGGCACGAAAGCGUGGGUAGCAAACGGGAUUAGAUACCCUGGUAGUCCCUGAGCGGGCUGGCAAGGCGCAU